ACGCUGGCGGCAGGCUUACACAUGCAAGUCGAGCGGGCGUAGCAAUACGUCAGCGGCAGACGGGUGAGUAACGCGUGGGAACGUACCUUUUGGUUCGGAACAACACAGGGAAACUUGUGCUAAUACCGGAUAAGCCCUUACGGGGAAAGAUUUAUCGCCGAAAGAUCGGCCCGCGUCUGAUUAGCUAGUUGGUGAGGUAACGGCUCACCAAGGCGACGAUCAGUAGCUGGUCUGAGAGGAUGAUCAGCCACAUUGGGACUGAGACACGGCCCAAACUCCUACGGGAGGCAGCAGUGGGGAAUAUUGGACAAUGGGCGCAAGCCUGAUCCAGCCAUGCCGCGUGAGUGAUGAAGGCCCUAGGGUUGUAAAGCUCUUUUGUGCGGGAAGAUAAUGACGGUACCGCAAGAAUAAGCCCCGGCUAACUUCGUGCCAGCAGCCGCGGUAAUACGAAGGGGGCUAGCGUUGCUCGGAAUCACUGGGCGUAAAGGGUGCGUAGGCGGGUCUUUAAGUCAGGGGUGAAAUCCUGGAGCUCAACUCCAGAACUGCCUUUGAUACUGAAGAUCUUGAGUUCGGGAGAGGUGAGUGGAACU
RNAcentral lists this ribosomal RNA (590 nucleotides) under Bradyrhizobium sp. Is-D128. RNAcentral's name for it is "bacterial SSU rRNA". It matches the Rfam family "Bacterial small subunit ribosomal RNA", at positions 33 to 668 of the family's 1533-position model. The record is from RNAcentral. Lineage: Bacteria; Pseudomonadati; Pseudomonadota; Alphaproteobacteria; Hyphomicrobiales; Nitrobacteraceae.